AGAGUUUGAUCCUGGCUCAGAGCGAACGCUGGCGGCGUGCCUAACACAUGCAAGUCGAACGUGAAAGGGAGCAAUCCUGAGUAAAGUGGCGUACGGGUGAGUAACGCGUAGGUAAUCUACCCCAAAAUCUGGAAUAACCUGCCGAAAGGCGGGCUAAUACUGGAUAGAGCGAUGGAAUCCGUAAUUGGGUUUUUCGGGAA
Molecule: ribosomal RNA, 200 nt
Filed under: uncultured bacterium
Lineage: Bacteria
Description: partial 16S ribosomal RNA
Rfam family: Bacterial small subunit ribosomal RNA
Source: RNAcentral